UGGGGAAUCUUGGGCAAUGGGCGCAAGCCUGACCCAGCCAUGCCGCGUGUGUGAAGAAGGCCCUCGGGUUGUAAAGCACUUUCAGCAGUGAAGAAAUGUCGGGAGUUAAUACCUCCACGGCUUUGACGUUAACUGCAGAAGAAGCACCGGCUAACUCCGUGCCAGCAGCCGCGGUAAUACGGAGGGUGCAAACGUUAAUCGGAAUUACUGGGCGUAAAGCGCGCGUAGGCGGUCUGAUAAGUGGGGUGUGAAAGCCCAGGGCUUAACCUUGGAACUGCAUUCCAAACUGUCAGGCUAGAGUAUGGUAGAGGGAGGUAGAAUUUCCUGUGUAGCGGUGAAAUGCGUAGAUAUAGGAAGGAAUACCGAUGGCGAAGGCAGCCUCCUGGACCAAUACUGACGCUGAGGUGCGAAAGCGUGGGGAGCAAACAGGAUUAGAUACCCCCGUAGUCC
RNAcentral lists this ribosomal RNA (450 nucleotides) under uncultured prokaryote. RNAcentral describes it as "bacterial SSU rRNA". It matches the Rfam family "Bacterial small subunit ribosomal RNA", at positions 355 to 796 of the family's 1533-position model. The record is from RNAcentral.